CGCGGCCUAUCAGCUUGUUGGUGGGGUGAUGGCCUACCAAGGCGACGACGGGUAGCCGGCCUGAGAGGGUGUCCGGCCACACUGGGACUGAGAUACGGCCCAGACUCCUACGGGAGGCAGCAGUGGGGAAUAUUGCACAAUGGGCGCAAGCCUGAUGCAGCGACGCCGCGUGGGGGAUGACGGCCUUCGGGUUGUAAACCUCUUUCACCAUCGACGAAGGUCCGGGUUUUCUCGGAUUGACGGUAGGUGGAGAAGAAGCACCGGCCAACUACGUGCCAGCAGCCGCGGUAAUACGUAGGGUGCGAGCGUUGUCCGGAAUUACUGGGCGUAAAGAGCUCGUAGGUGGUUUGUCGCGUUGUUCGUGAAAUCUCACGGCUUAACUGUGAGCGUGCGGGCGAUACGGGCAGACUGGAGUACUGCAGGGGAGACUGGAAUUCCUGGUGUAGCGGUGGAAUGCGCAGAUAUCAGGAGGAACACCGGUGGCGAAGGCGGGUCUCUGGGCAGUAACUGACGCUGAGGAGCGAAAGCGUGGGGAGCGAACAGGAUUAGAUACCCUGGUAGUCCACGCCGUAAACGGUGGGUACUAGGUGUGGGUUUCCUUCCCUGGGAUCCGUGCCGUAGCUAACGCAUUAAGUACCCCGCCUGGGGAGUACG
This 654-nucleotide ribosomal RNA is filed under the name uncultured bacterium. RNAcentral's name for it is "bacterial SSU rRNA". It matches the Rfam family "Bacterial small subunit ribosomal RNA", at positions 232 to 884 of the family's 1533-position model. The record is from RNAcentral.